This 433-nucleotide ribosomal RNA is filed under the name uncultured bacterium. Its description in RNAcentral is "partial 16S ribosomal RNA". It matches the Rfam family "Bacterial small subunit ribosomal RNA", at positions 29 to 507 of the family's 1533-position model. The record is from RNAcentral.
AACGAACGCUGGCGGCAUGCCUAACACAUGCAAGUCGAACGAGACCUUCGGGUCUAGUGGCGCACGGGUGCGUAACGCGUGGGAACCUGCCCUUAGGUUCGGAAUAACUCCCCGAAAGGGGUGCUAAUACCGGAUAAUGUCUUCGGACCAAAGAUUUAUCGACUUUGGAUGGGCCCGCGUUGGAUUAGCUAGUUGGUAGGGUAAAAGCCUACCAAGGGGACGAUCCAUAGCUGGUCUGAGAGGAUGAUCAGCCACACUGGGACUGAGACACGGCCCAGACUCCUACGGGAGGCAGCAGUGGGGAAUAUUGGACAAUGGGCGAAAGCCUGAUCGAGCAAUGCCGCGUGAGUGAUGAAGGCCUUAGGGUUGUAAAGCUCUUUUACCCGGGAUGAUAAUGACAGUACCGGGAGAAUAAGCUCCGGCUAACUCCGUG